GUCUACAGCCCUGCCACCCGGAACGUGCCCAAUUUCAUCUGAUCUCAGAAGCUAAGCAGGGUCAGGCCUGGUUAGUACUUGGAUAGGACCACCUAGGAAUACCAGGUGCUAUAGGCA
Molecule: ribosomal RNA, 117 nt
Filed under: Pteropus alecto (black flying fox)
Lineage: Eukaryota; Metazoa; Chordata; Mammalia; Chiroptera; Pteropodidae
Source: RNAcentral